CUUGCUCAGGUUAGUAAAUGUGUGAGGUCAGUUUUGGACCCAGGUUUUCCUGGCUCCAGGCUCAGCUCUCUAUCCACCAUAUCACUUGGCUGCCUUAAAAACAGAAACUUUGACAGUGCAACUAAAGCUCCACCCCUUCCUCUCAGUUCUUUCUCCUUAUAUAUAUCAAGGCAAACUCUGCUCUCUGCAUACUGUCCUGCCAGAAGGAAGCAGGAGCCCAAGGCUGGAAGAGUUUUUUCCUUUAGGUACCACAAUUGCCUUAAUAGAAAUCAACACUAACUCCUCUCCAGAUCUCCCAGAUCAAUCUCCUCUUCUCCUAAACCCUGUUUGUUCUCUCAGACAUCUCAGUCCUUUACAAGCAGGUCUAACAUGUGCUAUUCAAAGCAUGUAGGGUUCUGAGAUGUGGGACUCAGGCAGGACUGAUCACCAAAGGAGAGAGAGUAGGUACCUUAUGAAUGUUUGUUGCAUAAAAUGAAUGGUAAUCCUAUUUGCCAUUCAUUUGGUUAACAAAUAUUUCAUAUACGUUUCAUUAUUUGCGAAAGUGUCUAUGAAAUGAGAAAUCAGUAGAGGGGGCAGCUGGGUGACCCAGUGGAUUGAGAGUUCAAAUCUGGUCUCAUACCCUCCCUAGCUGUGUGACCCUGGGCAUGUCACUUAAC
This 656-nucleotide long non-coding RNA is filed under the name Monodelphis domestica (gray short-tailed opossum). RNAcentral describes it as "lncRNA (ENSMODG00000032075.2)". The record is from RNAcentral. Lineage: Eukaryota; Metazoa; Chordata; Mammalia; Didelphimorphia; Didelphidae.